Molecule: long non-coding RNA, 221 nt
Filed under: Salvia miltiorrhiza (redroot sage)
Lineage: Eukaryota; Viridiplantae; Streptophyta; Magnoliopsida; Lamiales; Lamiaceae
Description: long non-coding RNA (SMIL_LNC010035)
Source: RNAcentral
CGAUUUUGGGCUGAAAGUCGACGGCGGUGGCUCGGCGCCACUGUCGGUCUGACCGGAGAAGGUCGAAGGCUGUGAGGCGGCUCAACGCCGUUGCUCCAGCAAGGUCUUGAGGGGAGAGCCGAGAGGUGCUUGGGGGGGGAGAGGAGGCUGAGCCUAGGGCUCCGGCGAGCGGCUCCUGCUGCUGCUUGUCGGCGGGAGACCGAGAGGGAGGCUAGGCGCUG